UUAGAGUGAAAUUGUGAGAAGUAGACGAUUACUGUGACUAACAAACUAGAACAGGUAAAGCUAUGGAUCACUUAGUGAUUAAUAAAGUUAUUGUGAUUAACACAAACUAAUAGACUACAAGAUGUAAUUGGUAGGCAUGGCAUUAAACUUUUGAAGUUAGAACCCAAAGUACGGCUGCGUAAUUAGCUAAUGAAUAUUAAUGGUGCCUCCUACUAUGACCCAGAGGGUUAUUAGCAUGAACAUGGGAUGUACGAGCAGGUGGGGGUAACAUACCAAGGAGUUGUAUGAUGAAGGCGGACGGGAAGAAUGGGAAUUCCCAGUAUCCCAGCCAGUGGGAGAAAGGAGGCAGGGACUUUGCGCAUGAGUAGGGAAGAAGAGGCUGUGGGAACUGCUCCCCCAGGGCACUGCCUUUGGGGUGAGCGCCCGGUCUGGCCAGAACGAAUUAAACUGUCCCUGCUUGGUACUUUGCCUCCCGUAUCGUCAUUGCUUGGAUUCCAUUCCUUACAAAAUGUAACUAUUCUUUAUGGUGUUGUGAGGUGUAUCCAAUCACCUUCCUAUCCAUAUCAAAGAAUCCAAUCACCUUCCUGUGUAUUGUAUUCACUCUGCUUUUGUGCAUUCUCUAUAACCCUAAGGAAAUUAACAUGGGGUGUUCCUAUUUUAGGCACCCAUGGAUCCAUGCAUUCAGUUGUAAAUAAACCUGUCUGCUCUGACAAGAAA
Varanus komodoensis (Komodo dragon) is the source of this 717-nucleotide long non-coding RNA. RefSeq lists it as uncharacterized. NCBI's taxonomy places the organism in Eukaryota, Metazoa, Chordata, Lepidosauria, Squamata, Varanidae. The transcript has 2 exons. The record is from RefSeq and is a predicted model, not a curated record.